AUGGUAGCCUUCAGAGAUACUUUGGAAACUUGCGGACUGGUUGAUCUUGGCUUUGUGGGUGUCCCGUUCACUUAUGAUAAUAAACGAGCAAGAGCAAGGAAUGUGCGUGUGCGCCUAGACAGAGCAGUUGCCACAAAUGCUUGGAGGAAUAUGUUUGCUUUCUCGUCUGUCCAGCAUGUUCCGUCACCGUGUUCUGACCAUGUAGUCUUGCUGCUAAAAACUGAAGUUGAUGAAAGACCAAAAGGACCUAAGUGCAGAAGAUAUGAAGUAUUCUGGGAGAGGGAUGAUGCACUACCAGAGGUAAUAAAGAACGCAUGGGAAGCUGUAAGUGGCGUACAAAACCUCGUACAGCUGCGGGACGCACUAACGAAAACAAUGCUGACACUUAGUGCCUGGAGCAAAAAGUUUGGCAAUAUCACUAGGGAACUAACCAAGUCUAGGUCGCAAUUGGAGGAACUCAUGCAUAUGAAUGCAAACCAGCAAGAUAUUCGGAGGGUAACGGAUAAGAUGAAUGAGUUGCUGUACCAAGAGGAAAUGAUGUGGCUUCAGAGGUCUAGAAUCACAUGGUUGAAGGAAGGUGACCGCAAUACCAAAUUCUUUCAGAGUAAGGCUGUAUGGAGAGCAAUAAAAAAUAAGAUACGCGAACUCACAGACAGUAUUGGUGUUGUGCAUUCAGAUUUCGCUAAGAUGGGGGAGCUGGCAAACGAGUACUUCCAUAAUAUUUUUGCCGCUGAUCCCUCUCUUGAUCCUUCACCGGUCCUUGAUAUGUUGGAGGCUAUGGUCUCGGAGGAGGACAACAUCAAACUAUGUGCGCCAUUCACUGAUAAGGAAAUUGCAGAUGCGUUGUUUCAGAUUGGGCCACUGAAGGCCCGGGUCCGGAUGGCCUUCCGACGAGGUUUUUCCAGCGAAACUGGAGCACUAUUAAGGAGGAUGUUUUAG
This 939-nucleotide ribosomal RNA is filed under the name Triticum aestivum (bread wheat). Its description in RNAcentral is "partial small subunit ribosomal RNA". The record is from RNAcentral. Lineage: Eukaryota; Viridiplantae; Streptophyta; Magnoliopsida; Poales; Poaceae.